AAGUGUGAGACCAUGACCUGAGCCGAAGUUGGACACUCAACCGACAGAGCCUCCCGGGUGCCCUGGUCCUGGCAUUUCUUCACAGGAAACCCAAGGCAGCUAGAAGCAAACGCUGCGCAGCGCUCACCGGAUUUCUGUGACACAAGUGACUUACUGCUAGAAUAUAAGUGGAGGCACGUCAGACAUUCUAAGAGUUUAUGUGAGCAGACACCGAUUCCAGUCUGGCAGCGCCACACUGGCGGUCAGGAGGGCGCCCCCACCGGCGGGGCUGGGGGAGACUCCGUGGAGGGGCGUGCGGUUCAUUUCUCCGUGACGUGGGGAUGGCUCCUCCCAGGACCAGGUCAGACGCGCCGCGAGCCACAGAGGCGCAGCGGCGCCGGGAAGGAGGCUCGGAGCUUCGAGCGGCCACGUUACCUGACGUCCGGCCUCGGGCAAGUCCCAGGUCUCCGGCUCUUCUUUCUCUGUAAGAUGGAGAAAUGGGACCAGACGUCGGCAGGGGCCCUUCCGGUCCCGACGUCUGUGCUUGAAGCAAGAGCACGUAGGAGAGUGGUGAGGGGCUUGGCCGAGGGCCUGUGGUGUGCGCGCACCCCUUCUCCGGGACACUUGUCCACGCGAGGGUGACUGGACGAGCUAGCGCGGUCCCUGCCGGGCCCACAGCGCGAGGACAGUCUGAGCCCGACAGCGUCUGCUGAGCUGCUGAAGACGGAUGUGCACAGCGCCCCGGUGUUGUCCUAGCAGACGGUGUCAGGGAGCAGCGCGUCACCCGAACGUAAGGCUCUGGAUAGUGUGAACCCCACUGUUUCCGCACCCUGGUUCUUUCCUCUGGCAAGGUGUCCCCCGAGGGGGCAAUGCCCCGUGCGUCCCUGAAGGGUGCGCCCCCAAGGGGGUGAUGCCCGGUGUGCCGCCCGAGGGGGGUGCCCCCGUGGAACAAGC
Molecule: long non-coding RNA, 933 nt
Organism: Suricata suricatta (meerkat)
Lineage: Eukaryota; Metazoa; Chordata; Mammalia; Carnivora; Herpestidae
Exons: 3
Source: RefSeq, a predicted model, not a curated record